Molecule: RNase P RNA, 384 nt
Filed under: Magnetococcales bacterium
Lineage: Bacteria; Pseudomonadati; Pseudomonadota; Magnetococcia; Magnetococcales
Description: RNase P RNA component class A
Rfam family: Bacterial RNase P class A
About the family: Ribonuclease P (RNase P) is a ubiquitous endoribonuclease, found in archaea, bacteria and eukarya as well as chloroplasts and mitochondria. Its best characterised activity is the generation of mature 5'-ends of tRNAs by cleaving the 5'-leader elements of precursor-tRNAs.
Source: RNAcentral
AGAGUGGGCUGGGUGGCCGCUGGUGUUAUGCUGUUUGCAGAUUUUAACACUGGAGGAAAGUCCGGGCUCCAAAAAGCAAGAUGCCGGGUAACUCCCGGCGGGGGCAACCCUAGGGACAGUGCCACAGAAAACAGACCGCCGGACUAGUUUAUCUUCCGGUAAGGGUGAAAAGGUGCGGUAAGAGCGCACCGCGUUUUCCGGUAACGGAAACGGCAAGGUAAACCCCGUCUGGAGCAAGACCAAAUAGGGGGACGUUUAGGGCUGCUAUGUCCAGUUCCCGGGUAGGUCGCACGAGGUGCUUGGUAACAAGUACCCAAGAUGAAUGGUCACCACCUGACUAGCAAUAGUCAGGAACAGAACCCGGCUUACAGGCCCGCUCUUUUU